RNAcentral lists this ribosomal RNA (2932 nucleotides) under Escherichia coli. RNAcentral describes it as "23S ribosomal RNA". It matches the Rfam family "Bacterial large subunit ribosomal RNA". The record is from RNAcentral. Lineage: Bacteria; Pseudomonadati; Pseudomonadota; Gammaproteobacteria; Enterobacterales; Enterobacteriaceae.
GGGUUGUGAGGUUAAGCGACUAAGCGUACACGGUGGAUGCCCUGGCAGUCAGAGGCGAUGAAGGACGUGCUAAUCUGCGAUAAGCGUCGGUAAGGUGAUAUGAACCGUUAUAACCGGCGAUUUCCGAAUGGGGAAACCCAGUGUGAUUCGUCACACUAUCAUUAACUGAAUCCAUAGGUUAAUGAGGCGAACCGGGGGAACUGAAACAUCUAAGUACCCCGAGGAAAAGAAAUCAACCGAGAUUCCCCCAGUAGCGGCGAGCGAACGGGGAGCAGCCCAGAGCCUGAAUCAGUGUGUGUGUUAGUGGAAGCGUCUGGAAAGGCGCGCGAUACAGGGUGACAGCCCCGUACACAAAAAUGCACAUGCUGUGAGCUCGAUGAGUAGGGCGGGACACGUGGUAUCCUGUCUGAAUAUGGGGGGACCAUCCUCCAAGGCUAAAUACUCCUGACUGACCGAUAGUGAACCAGUACCGUGAGGGAAAGGCGAAAAGAACCCCGGCGAGGGGAGUGAAAAAGAACCUGAAACCGUGUACGUACAAGCAGUGGGAGCACAGAGCAAUCUGUGUGACUGCGUACCUUUUGUAUAAUGGGUCAGCGACUUAUAUUCUGUAGCAAGGUUAACCGAAUAGGGGAGCCGAAGGGAAACCGAGUCUUAACUGGGCGUUAAGUUGCAGGGUAUAGACCCGAAACCCGGUGAUCUAGCCAUGGGCAGGUUGAAGGUUGGGUAACACUAACUGGAGGACCGAACCGACUAAUGUUGAAAAAUUAGCGGAUGACUUGUGGCUGGGGGUGAAAGGCCAAUCAAACCGGGAGAUAGCUGGUUCUCCCCGAAAGCUAUUUAGGUAGCGCCUCGUGAAUUCAUCUCCGGGGGUAGAGCACUGUUUCGGCAAGGGGGUCAUCCCGACUUACCAACCCGAUGCAAACUGCGAAUACCGGAGAAUGUUAUCACGGGAGACACACGGCGGGUGCUAACGUCCGUCGUGAAGAGGGAAACAACCCAGACCGCCAGCUAAGGUCCCAAAGUCAUGGUUAAGUGGGAAACGAUGUGGGAAGGCCCAGACAGCCAGGAUGUUGGCUUAGAAGCAGCCAUCAUUUAAAGAAAGCGUAAUAGCUCACUGGUCGAGUCGGCCUGCGCGGAAGAUGUAACGGGGCUAAACCAUGCACCGAAGCUGCGGCAGCGACGCUUAUGCGUUGUUGGGUAGGGGAGCGUUCUGUAAGCCUGCGAAGGUGUGCUGUGAGGCAUGCUGGAGGUAUCAGAAGUGCGAAUGCUGACAUAAGUAACGAUAAAGCGGGUGAAAAGCCCGCUCGCCGGAAGACCAAGGGUUCCUGUCCAACGUUAAUCGGGGCAGGGUGAGUCGACCCCUAAGGCGAGGCCGAAAGGCGUAGUCGAUGGGAAACAGGUUAAUAUUCCUGUACUUGGUGUUACUGCGAAGGGGGGACGGAGAAGGCUAUGUUGGCCGGGCGACGGUUGUCCCGGUUUAAGCGUGUAGGCUGGUUUUCCAGGCAAAUCCGGAAAAUCAAGGCUGAGGCGUGAUGACGAGGCACUACGGUGCUGAAGCAACAAAUGCCCUGCUUCCAGGAAAAGCCUCUAAGCAUCAGGUAACAUCAAAUCGUACCCCAAACCGACACAGGUGGUCAGGUAGAGAAUACCAAGGCGCUUGAGAGAACUCGGGUGAAGGAACUAGGCAAAAUGGUGCCGUAACUUCGGGAGAAGGCACGCUGAUAUGUAGGUGAAGUCCCUCGCGGAUGGAGCUGAAAUCAGUCGAAGAUACCAGCUGGCUGCAACUGUUUAUUAAAAACACAGCACUGUGCAAACACGAAAGUGGACGUAUACGGUGUGACGCCUGCCCGGUGCCGGAAGGUUAAUUGAUGGGGUUAGCGCAAGCGAAGCUCUUGAUCGAAGCCCCGGUAAACGGCGGCCGUAACUAUAACGGUCCUAAGGUAGCGAAAUUCCUUGUCGGGUAAGUUCCGACCUGCACGAAUGGCGUAAUGAUGGCCAGGCUGUCUCCACCCGAGACUCAGUGAAAUUGAACUCGCUGUGAAGAUGCAGUGUACCCGCGGCAAGACGGAAAGACCCCGUGAACCUUUACUAUAGCUUGACACUGAACAUUGAGCCUUGAUGUGUAGGAUAGGUGGGAGGCUUUGAAGUGUGGACGCCAGUCUGCAUGGAGCCGACCUUGAAAUACCACCCUUUAAUGUUUGAUGUUCUAACGUUGACCCGUAAUCCGGGUUGCGGACAGUGUCUGGUGGGUAGUUUGACUGGGGCGGUCUCCUCCUAAAGAGUAACGGAGGAGCACGAAGGUUGGCUAAUCCUGGUCGGACAUCAGGAGGUUAGUGCAAUGGCAUAAGCCAGCUUGACUGCGAGCGUGACGGCGCGAGCAGGUGCGAAAGCAGGUCAUAGUGAUCCGGUGGUUCUGAAUGGAAGGGCCAUCGCUCAACGGAUAAAAGGUACUCCGGGGAUAACAGGCUGAUACCGCCCAAGAGUUCAUAUCGACGGCGGUGUUUGGCACCUCGAUGUCGGCUCAUCACAUCCUGGGGCUGAAGUAGGUCCCAAGGGUAUGGCUGUUCGCCAUUUAAAGUGGUACGCGAGCUGGGUUUAGAACGUCGUGAGACAGUUCGGUCCCUAUCUGCCGUGGGCGCUGGAGAACUGAGGGGGGCUGCUCCUAGUACGAGAGGACCGGAGUGGACGCAUCACUGGUGUUCGGGUUGUCAUGCCAAUGGCACUGCCCGGUAGCUAAAUGCGGAAGAGAUAAGUGCUGAAAGCAUCUAAGCACGAAACUUGCCCCGAGAUGAGUUCUCCCUGACCCUUUAAGGGUCCUGAAGGAACGUUGAAGACGACGACGUUGAUAGGCCGGGUGUGUAAGCGCAGCGAUGCGUUGAGCUAACCGGUACUAAUGAACCGUGAGGCUUAACCUUACAACGCCGAAGCUGUU